CAUGCAAGUCGAGCGAGAAANGNNNNUCACGAGNCCCGAGUAAAGCGGCGAAAGGGUGAGUAAUACAUGGAUAACCUACCNNGAGAGGGGGACAACACCGGGAAACUGGUGCUAAUACCCCAUGAGACCACGGGUUCACGGACCUGUGGUCAAAGAUGGCCUCUAUUUAUAAGCUUUCGCUCAGGGAGGGGUUCAUGGCCUAUUAGCUUGUUGGUGGGGUAACGGCCUACCAAGGCUUUGAUGGGUAGCCGGGCUGAGAGGUUGUUCGGCCACACUGGGACUGAGACACUGCCCAGACUCCUCCGGGAGGCUGCAGUCGAGAAUCUUUCGCAAUGCGCGCAAGCGUGACGGAGUGACGCCGCGUGGACGAUGAAGGCCUUCGGGUUGUAAAGUCCAAUCGCAGGGGAAGAACGGUGGGAGGGAAACACUCUGCCCAUUAGACGUUACCCUGGUCGAAGCGCCGGCUAAACACGUGCCAGCAGCCGCGGUAAUACGUGUGGCGCAAGCGUUGUUCGGAAUCACUGGGCAUAAAGAGCGCGUAGGCGGUGUCGUAAGUCGGGUGUGAAAGCCCUCGGCUCAACCGAGGAAUGGCAUCCGAAACUGCGGCGCUAGAGUACGGUAGGGGGGAGUGGAAUUCCUGGUGGAGCGGUGAAAUGCGUAGAUAUCAGGAGGAACGCCGGUGGCGAAGGCGACUCUCUGGCCCGUUACUGACGCUGAGUGUGCGAAAGCUAGGGGAGCAAACAGGAUUAGAUACCCUGGUAGUCCUAGCUGUAAACGAUGGGCACUAGGUAGUGGGGGUUACCGACAUUCUCACUGCUGUAGCAAAUGUAUUAAGUGCCCCGCCUGGGGAGUAUGCUCGCAAGGGUGAAACUCAAAUGAAUUGAC
This 885-nucleotide ribosomal RNA is filed under the name uncultured bacterium. RNAcentral's name for it is "bacterial SSU rRNA". It matches the Rfam family "Bacterial small subunit ribosomal RNA", at positions 54 to 914 of the family's 1533-position model. The record is from RNAcentral.